This 671-nucleotide long non-coding RNA is filed under the name Equus asinus (donkey). RNAcentral's name for it is "lncRNA (ENSEASG00005037378.1)". The record is from RNAcentral. Lineage: Eukaryota; Metazoa; Chordata; Mammalia; Perissodactyla; Equidae.
AUCACUUUGUCCAGCAUAUCUACGCUGUGUACGCUACCCGCCUGUUAGUCACUUAGUAGCCCUCUCAGUCAUCAGAUCGAGUGUCGGGUAUCUCAGUGCUUGUGUUCAAGUAAUCCUUAUUUUAUUUAGUAAUGGUCCCAAAGUGCAAAGGUAGUGAGGCUGGCGAUUCAGGUAUGCUAAAGAGAAGCUAUAAAGUGCUUCCUUUAGGUGAAAAGGUGCAAGUUCUCAACCCGAUAAGCAAAGAAAAAACAUCCUAUGCUGAGGCUGCUAAGAUCUACGGGGAAGAUAGCGACCGCAGAGUGGAGAAACCUUGUAGACACCACUUUUCUCAGGGGAUCAAGAUUAACAUUGCAGGGUCAUUCAAGGGUCACAAGGAUUUAUGAAACAAGGAUUUCUUGUUUCACAGAAGAAAAAGAAUGACUUCAAGGAAGUUAGGAUCACCAGAAAACCAGGCUCUAGCCGCCAUUGACCUUACAAGUCAGAUUGCCCAAGGGCUUAUAUGGAGUGAAAGAAACAUGGAUUACCGCCUUUGUUUCUCUGAAACUCCUCCUGCCAAGCCCCUUAGAUCUAUAAAAACCCCUGCUUUCUUCUCUUGUUAAGGCAGAUUUGAGGGAUCGUAUCCUCCUGCCUUCUCAUUUUGGCCAAUUUGAAUAAAGCUUUCUCCAUCUCCA